GGGACACGUGGUAUCCUGUCUGAAUAUGGGGGGACCAUCCUCCAAGGCUAAAUACUCCUGACUGACCGAUAGUGAACCAGUACCGUGAGGGAAAGGCGAAAAGAACCCCGGCGAGGGGAGUGAAAAAGAACCUGAAACCGUGUACGUACAAGCAGUGGGAGCACCUUCGGGUGUGACUGCGUACCUUUUGUAUAAUGGGUCAGCGACUUAUAUUCUGUAGCAAGGUUAACCGUAUAGGGGAGCCGCAGGGAAACCGAGUCUUAACUGGGCGUUAAGUUGCAGGGUAUAGACCCGAAACCCGGUGAUCUAGCCAUGGGCAGGUUGAAGGUUGGGUAACACUAACUGGAGGACCGAACCGACUAAUGUUGAAAAAUUAGCGGAUGAC
This 385-nucleotide ribosomal RNA is filed under the name Klebsiella pneumoniae. RNAcentral describes it as "partial 23S ribosomal RNA". It matches the Rfam family "Bacterial large subunit ribosomal RNA", at positions 419 to 808 of the family's 2925-position model. Lineage: Bacteria; Pseudomonadati; Pseudomonadota; Gammaproteobacteria; Enterobacterales; Enterobacteriaceae. The record is from RNAcentral.